CUCCUCCACCUAAGGAAAGAUGGAAACAAAGUUAUUUUUUAAAUUUUUUUAAUCCUGCAACAAAUGCCUUAUUUGGGGCUGUUUGGUUGGAGUGGCAGGAGCAUUUAAGGCACCGGUUCUCAUGUCCCACUUCAGAAAUUAAAAGAAAUUCACACCUCACAAAAAGAAAAAGGAUCCAUUUUUCUGGAGUAAAGCUCUGCUUCUGUCCUCGGCCCCUCCCUCUGCUCCGGUCGCCCCUCGGCCCCUGGCUCCUGCCCUGGGACAGGAAGUCGCCGAAUGUCGGCGCUUUCGGAGGUCGCUUACUGUCAUCUAAAGGAGACAUCGAUGAAUCACAGUUAGAAGAUCAACCAAGUAUCAAAGAAGACCUUCCACAUGCUUUAACUUGUUUUGGCCAGCGGCACAUUAACACAUGGUGAUGUUCAGUGGCACCGACGCUUUCAUAGUCAAUUUAAAGGCAAAAUUUUUCCAUGUGUCACACAUUAAAAGACAACAGGAAAAAAAAAAAGCUGACUUUGGGGUGGUCGCAUGUUCCCUUUUUUUUUUUUUUUUUUGAAGGAUGUGGCUGACUUUAUGGGGGGAAAAAAAAAAAUUUGGAAAAGAGUCAAAGUCAGAGGGAAGAAGAGCAGAGGACACGAGGAGAAGAUCAGAGACCAAAAGCUCAGACGAGGGAGGAUAAGAACUCAACAGGGAGAGAGGAGAGGAUGUUAUUAAAAGGUCAGAAAGAGACAGAUACAACUACAAAAGAAAAGAAGGGAUCAGUGAGGAGACAAAGGAUGUAGGCAACAAGACUGAAGAGGACUGAAGGAUAAAUCACAGUGAAGACAUGCAUGCAGCCAAAGGCAACAAAGAAUCUGAGGACCAUCCACAAACACUGCUGGACAUCUUGAGGUUGCUGUGUGUGCAGGCAGGAGCAUCUGAAGUGUUUCCAGCCACAGAAAGAUUAGAGCUGCUCACACAAAGGCAAACCUCUCCGAGCUGUCACAAUGUCUAAUUUUAGAGAUCAGAGCAGUCAAAAUUUACAUCAGAGUCCCCGAAGGUUAAAUUGAGACAGAUUCAGAGUAUUUGGAUAUUUCCAAAGACUCAAGAUUAACCUGCAUUUAAAAUUAAAAACAUCUACUACUGUU
Oreochromis niloticus (Nile tilapia) is the source of this 1124-nucleotide long non-coding RNA. RefSeq lists it as uncharacterized. The transcript is spliced from 3 exons. NCBI's taxonomy places the organism in Eukaryota, Metazoa, Chordata, Actinopteri, Cichliformes, Cichlidae. The record is from RefSeq and is a predicted model, not a curated record.